RNAcentral lists this ribosomal RNA (264 nucleotides) under uncultured bacterium. RNAcentral describes it as "partial 16S ribosomal RNA". It matches the Rfam family "Bacterial small subunit ribosomal RNA", at positions 793 to 1055 of the family's 1533-position model. The record is from RNAcentral.
GUCCACGCCCUAAACUAUGUCAACUGGUUGUCGGGGAAGAAAUUCCUUGGUAACGAAGCUAACGCGUGAAGUUGACCGCCUGGGGAGUACGGCCGCAAGGUUAAAACUCAAAGGAAUUGACGGGGACCCGCACAAGCGGUGGAUUAUGUGGAUUAAUUCGAUGCAACGCGAAAAACCUUACCUACCCUUGACAUGUACGGAACCUCACAGAGAUGUGAGGGUGCUCGAAAGAGAACCGUAACACAGGUGCUGCAUGGCUGUAGU